Protopterus annectens (West African lungfish) is the source of this 704-nucleotide non-coding RNA. The record is from the annotation of a RefSeq genome assembly. NCBI's taxonomy places the organism in Eukaryota, Metazoa, Chordata, Ceratodontiformes, Protopteridae.
GAGCCCGCCCACUGCAGCACGCGUGACUGAGGGCAUUUAUUCUAUCUUAUUCUUACAGAGACUUAGAGAUGCCACACUCCUCCUUCAGAAUGCACUGCUGGGCAGUUAUUGCAUUUGUGCUGGUCUUUACCCACAGAACAGUAUGCAGUCAAGAAUAUGCUGUGCUCCAGUCCCAGACUGCAGUGACUGUGUCCCAGGGAGAGACGGUGGUCCUGACAGCCACAUAUAAGGUACCCAGUACUGUUGCAAACCCCUAUCUCUAUUGGUACAGGCAGUACCCGGGACAGGCUUUGGAAUAUUUAAUACACGAAGACACCUACGGGAGUGUUGGUAACGAGAAAUCCAGAUUUACUAUAACUGUGGAUAACGUUAAGAAAACUACAACGCUCUCCAUCCCUGACUGUGUAGCGUCUGACACCGCAGUAUAUUACUGUGCUGUGAGUGACACAGUGCAGAUCUGCUACCCGGAGGAAAUGCAAAAACUCAUUAACAGGGGUUGACUCCAAUUUACUCAAAUGUGCUAUCUUACUCAUACAGUAGCAACAAUCACAUCUUAGGUUCAUACCUCUCAGCAAGGGUUGCCAUCUCUUCAAAUGCCCCCCCAAACGGACAUGUAAAUGUCAAAAUCUGCAGGACAGACCAAACCAGUGCAAAGGACUGGAAUUCAAUGAUAUGCCCCCCCCCCCCAAAAAAAAAAGACGUUC